This 479-nucleotide ribosomal RNA is filed under the name Escherichia coli. RNAcentral's name for it is "bacterial SSU rRNA". It matches the Rfam family "Bacterial small subunit ribosomal RNA", at positions 1043 to 1522 of the family's 1533-position model. RNAcentral also lists the same sequence under 1 other name. The record is from RNAcentral. Lineage: Bacteria; Pseudomonadati; Pseudomonadota; Gammaproteobacteria; Enterobacterales; Enterobacteriaceae.
GCAUGGCUGUCGUCAGCUCGUGUUGUGAAAUGUUGGGUUAAGUCCCGCAACGAGCGCAACCCUUAUCCUUUGUUGCCAGCGGUCCGGCCGGGAACUCAAAGGAGACUGCCAGUGAUAAACUGGAGGAAGGUGGGGAUGACGUCAAGUCAUCAUGGCCCUUACGACCAGGGCUACACACGUGCUACAAUGGCGCAUACAAAGAGAAGCGACCUCGCGAGAGCAAGCGGACCUCAUAAAGUGCGUCGUAGUCCGGAUUGGAGUCUGCAACUCGACUCCAUGAAGUCGGAAUCGCUAGUAAUCGUGGAUCAGAAUGCCACGGUGAAUACGUUCCCGGGCCUUGUACACACCGCCCGUCACACCAUGGGAGUGGGUUGCAAAAGAAGUAGGUAGCUUAACCUUCGGGAGGGCGCUUACCACUUUGUGAUUCAUGACUGGGGUGAAGUCGUAACAAGGUAACCGUAGGGGAACCUGCGGUUGGA